Molecule: long non-coding RNA, 346 nt
Filed under: Numida meleagris (helmeted guineafowl)
Lineage: Eukaryota; Metazoa; Chordata; Aves; Galliformes; Numididae
Description: lncRNA (ENSNMEG00000014698.1)
Source: RNAcentral
UUUUUUAGAAAUGCUAAACAUAGAAAUAAGUUCUUUAUCCUGAGGAAAGUAAUUAUCAUUGUGCAGGAGCACAAUGAGACAACAGCAGUUCAUCGAGGAGGAAGCAAUUAACAGAUUAGAGGUCACUGAAAUGUAGACCAAUAUAUACAGACGGGUUUCACAUUUCUUUAAGUACUGUACUCAAGGUGGACCUCUAGAUUUGCAAAUUAACUGAGAUGAGCUGAAUGAAGAAGAAGCUUUGGGAAAAAUCAUUCCAACAAAGCUCUCAAUUGCAUAUGUUUUCAAUUCUUCACAUUUCUCCACUGGGAAGUACACCAGAUCCAUGUAUGGUAGCUUGGAAGCUCAG